UGGCGGACGGGGGAGUAAUGUCUGGGGAAACUGCCUGAUGGAGGGGGGUAACUACUGGAAACGGUAGCUAAUACCGCAUAACGUCGCAAGACCAAAGAGGGGGACCUUAGGGCCUCUUGCCAUCGGAUGUGCCCAGAUGGGAUUAGCUAGUAGGUGGGGUAACGGCUCACCUAGGCGACGAUCCCUAGCUGGUCUGAGAGGAUGACCAGCCACACUGGAACUGAGACACGGUCCAG
This 236-nucleotide ribosomal RNA is filed under the name uncultured bacterium. Its description in RNAcentral is "partial 16S ribosomal RNA". It matches the Rfam family "Bacterial small subunit ribosomal RNA", at positions 96 to 334 of the family's 1533-position model. The record is from RNAcentral.